Molecule: non-coding RNA, 23 nt
Filed under: Rattus norvegicus (Norway rat)
Lineage: Eukaryota; Metazoa; Chordata; Mammalia; Rodentia; Muridae
Source: RNAcentral
CUAAUGUGUGCAUUUUUUUUCCU